This 465-nucleotide ribosomal RNA is filed under the name Vreelandella stevensii. RNAcentral's name for it is "partial 16S ribosomal RNA". It matches the Rfam family "Bacterial small subunit ribosomal RNA", at positions 338 to 795 of the family's 1533-position model. The record is from RNAcentral. Lineage: Bacteria; Pseudomonadati; Pseudomonadota; Gammaproteobacteria; Oceanospirillales; Halomonadaceae.
CCUACGGGCGGCAGCAGUGGGGAAUAUUGGACAAUGGGGGGAACCCUGAUCCAGCCAUGCCGCGUGUGUGAAGAAGGCCCUCGGGUUGUAAAGCACUUUCAGUGAGGAAGAACGCCUGGUGGUUAAUACCCAUCAGGAAAGACAUCACUCACAGAAGAAGCACCGGCUAACUCCGUGCCAGCAGCCGCGGUAAUACGGAGGGUGCGAGCGUUAAUCGGAAUUACUGGGCGUAAAGCGCGCGUAGGUGGCUUGAUAAGCCGGUUGUGAAAGCCCCGGGCUCAACCUGGGAACGGCAUCCGGAACUGUCAAGCUAGAGUGCCGGAGAGGAAGGUAGAAUUCCCGGUGUAGCGGUGAAAUGCGUAGAGAUCGGGAGGAAUACCAGUGGCGAAGGCGGCCUUCUGGACUGACACUGACACUGAGGUGCGAAAGCGUGGGUAGCAAGCAGGAUUAGAUACCCCUGUAGUC